This 455-nucleotide ribosomal RNA is filed under the name uncultured bacterium. RNAcentral's name for it is "bacterial SSU rRNA". It matches the Rfam family "Bacterial small subunit ribosomal RNA", at positions 28 to 507 of the family's 1533-position model. The record is from RNAcentral.
GAUGAACGCUGGCGGCGUGCCUAACACAUGCAAGUCGAGCGAUCUUCUUCGGAAGAGAGCGGCGGACGGGUGAGUAACGCGUGGGUAACCUGCCCUGUACACACGGAUAACAUACCGAAAGGUAUGCUAAUACGAGAUAAUAUGCUUUUAUCGCAUGGUAGAAGUAUCAAAGCUCUGGCGGUACAGGAUGGACCCGCGUCUGAUUAGCUAGUUGGUAAGGUAAUGGCUUACCAAGGCGACGAUCAGUAGCCGACCUGAGAGGGUGAUCGGCCACAUUGGAACUGAGACACGGUCCAAACUCCUACGGGAGGCAGCAGUGGGGAAUAUUGCACAAUGGGCGAAAGCCUGAUGCAGCAACGCCGCGUGAGGGAAGAAGGUCUUCGGAUUGUAAACCUUUGUAGACAGGGAAGAAUAAAGUGACGGUACCUGUAAAGUAAGCCACGGCUAACUACGUG